This 497-nucleotide ribosomal RNA is filed under the name uncultured bacterium. Its description in RNAcentral is "partial 16S ribosomal RNA". It matches the Rfam family "Bacterial small subunit ribosomal RNA", at positions 28 to 507 of the family's 1533-position model. The record is from RNAcentral.
GAUGAACGCUGGCGGCGUGCCUAAUACAUGCAAGUCGAGCGAACGGACGAGAAUCUUUCUUCUCUUAUGUUAGCGGCUGACGGGUGAGUAACACGUGUAUAACCUACCUAUUAUUCUUGGAUAACUUCGGGAAACCGCUGCUAAUACCGUCUAAUAUUUUGAACCGCAUUGUUCAAAAGUUCUAUUCGGUCUUUCUUUCUCUUAUAGAUUUAUCCCCUCUGCAUUAGCUAGUUGUUAAGGUAACGGCUUAACAAGGCAACGAUGCAUAUCCGACCUGAGAGGGGGAGCGGACACACUGGAACUGAGACACGGACAAGACUACUACGGGAGGCAGCAGUAGGGAAUAUUCCGCAAUGGGCGAAAGCAUGACGGAGCAACGCAGAGUGAGUGAUGAAGGUCUUAGGAUCGUAAAACUCUGUUAUUAGGGAAGAACAAAUGUGUAAGAAACAGAGCACAUCAUGACGGUAACAAAACAGAAAGCCACGGCUAACUACGUG